Small nucleolar RNA from Malus domestica (apple), 96 nucleotides. RefSeq annotates it as small nucleolar RNA R32/R81/Z41. The record is from RefSeq and is a predicted model, not a curated record. NCBI's taxonomy places the organism in Eukaryota, Viridiplantae, Streptophyta, Magnoliopsida, Rosales, Rosaceae.
UGAAGAAAAUGAUGAAAGAGAUGUGAAAGGGUGAUGAUCUUUCGAUUUAAAAUGAUCAGAAUAAUAUCUCUUCGCUACGUUCUUUCUGAUUCUAAA